GAUGAACGCUGGCGGCGUGCCUAACACAUGCAAGUCGAACGGAGAUUACGGACGGAAGUUUUCGGAUGGAAGCCUGUAAUUCUUAGUGGCGGACGGGUGAGUAACGCGUGGGCAACCUGCCCUAUACAGGGGGAUAGCAGCUGGAAACGGCUGGUAAGACCGCAUAAGUCGGUUAAAUCGCAUGAUUUGAUCGGGAAAUGAGCAAUCAGGUAUAGGAUGGGCCCGCGUCCGAUUAGCCAGUUGGCAGGGUAAAAGCCUACCAAAGCGACGAUCGGUAGCCGGACUGAGAGGUCGGACGGCCACAUUGGGACUGAGACACGGCCCAAACUCCUACGGGAGGCAGCAGUGGGGGAUAUUGCACAAUGGAGGAAACUCUGAUGCAGCGACGCCGCGUGAGUGAAGAAGUAUUUCGGUAUGUAAAGCUCUAUCAGCAGGGAAGAUGAUGACGGUACCUGACUAAGAAGCCCCGGCUAACUACGUGCCAGCAGCCGCGGUAAUACGUAGGGGGCAAGCGUUAUCCGGAUUUACUGGGUGUAAAGGGAGCGCAGGCGGUUUUGCAAGUUGAGAGUGGAAGCAGGGGGCUCAACCCCCUGACUGCUCCCAAAACUGUAAAACUUGAGUAUGGGAGAGGCAGGCGGAAUUCCUAGUGUAGCGGUGAAAUGCUUAGAUAUUAGGAAGAACACCGGUGGCGAAGGCGGCCUGCUGGACCAAAACUGACGCUGAGGCUCGAAAGCGUGGGUAGCAAACAGG
RNAcentral lists this ribosomal RNA (750 nucleotides) under uncultured Catonella sp. RNAcentral's name for it is "bacterial SSU rRNA". It matches the Rfam family "Bacterial small subunit ribosomal RNA", at positions 28 to 776 of the family's 1533-position model. The record is from RNAcentral. Lineage: Bacteria; Bacillati; Bacillota; Clostridia; Lachnospirales; Lachnospiraceae.